Molecule: ribosomal RNA, 254 nt
Filed under: uncultured bacterium
Lineage: Bacteria
Description: partial 16S ribosomal RNA
Rfam family: Bacterial small subunit ribosomal RNA
Source: RNAcentral
UACGGAGGGUGCAAGCGUUAUCCGGAUUCACUGGGUUUAAAGGGUGUGUAGGCGGGCCUUUUAAGUCUGGGGUGAAAUCUCCGAGCUCAACUCGGAAACUGCCCUGGAUACUAUCGGCCUUGAAUUAUGUUGAGGUCGGCGGAAUAUAACAUGUAGCGGUGAAAUGCAUAGAUAUGUUAUAGAACACCGAUUGCGAAGGCAGCUGACUAAGCAUAUAUUGACGCUGAGGCACGAAAGCGUGGGGAUCAAACAGG